UUUUUUAAGAAAAAAGAAGCAACAUCCAACAGCAAAAGGAAUGGCAUUUUUUCUGUCAAGAACACUACUAGAAGCCAUCAUCCAACAAUAGACAACCUUUGGCUCACUCUCUCUCAUUGGACAUGUUUUCCUCAAGAUUGCAGCAAUACAAGACAGCAGGAAUGAUGAUAUUGGCCUGUCAUGUGAAGUCUUACUAGGAGCAAAGAAAAACCAACAGCACUUCAUUUUUAGAUGAUGGCUCUCAGAUUCUAAGGACCCUUGCUUUGCAUUUCUUUUGCUGUCAAAAAAGCAUCAAAGAUACAACCCUGCCACAAGCCAGUCCAACCCUGCAUUGCAUCUUCAAAACCUGCUAACUGCUCUUACCCUGCUAUUUUGCAUCUCAUUUCUUCUGUCCAAAACAAAGGAGCACCAAAAACCCUGCCUUGCAUAAGCAAUAUGAAGGAGCAGAAUGGUUCAUAAUUUUCCUGUCAUGAGGAAUUAAGGACCAACCAACUUCACAUUUACACACACUUCACUUGUUGGCCAAGGUCAUUUUGCUGCCCAAACACAAAAGAACAAAAUCAAGCAUUGUAACCCUGCCAUGAAAAACCAGUAGCAAACCAACCAAAGGCCUAACUCACCUUGCUAUUUGCAUUGAAGAUUUUCUGUCAAAAAAUACAAAAGCACCAAAACCUUGCCUUGCCAACAAACAGCUAGCCACAACAUUCAACAAAAAGAAAUCAUUGAACACCACUCAUUCAUUCAAACUGACUUGAGCAUUCUCUUCAAAACAGUCAAAUUUCCAAAAAACUCACAAUGAACCACACCUGAGCCUGGCCUUGUAUUUUCACCCUCCCUCAAACACAUUUGAAAACACUGCUAGCACCACCUAACAUAACCAAGAAGCCUUGGUGCCCUCUCUCUCAAAAACACAUUUUUGCCUUUUU
This 926-nucleotide long non-coding RNA is filed under the name Lathyrus oleraceus (garden pea). Its description in RNAcentral is "Pisum sativum (pea) long non-coding RNA (PSAT_LNC041741)". Lineage: Eukaryota; Viridiplantae; Streptophyta; Magnoliopsida; Fabales; Fabaceae. The record is from RNAcentral.